GGUUAAGUUAUUAAGGGCGCAUGGGGGAUGCCUUGGCACUAGGAGCCGAUGAAGGACGGGACUAACACCGAUAUGCUUCGGGGAGCUGUAAGUAAGCUUUGAUCCGGAGAUUUCCGAAUGGGGGAACCCAACUUGUUAUGCAAGUUAUCACCUAAUGAAUAUAUAGUUAGGUUGAAGGUAGACGUUGUGAACUGAAACAUCUCAUUAGCAACAGGAAUAGAAAGAAAAAUCGAUACCGUCAGUAGCGGCGAGCGAAAUCGGUGAGCCCAACCAAAGUGCUUGCACUUUGGGGUUGUAGGGACUGACAUUGUGGAGUUACAAAGUUAUCAUUUAUCAGAAUCAGCUGGGAGCUGAGCGAGACAGGGUGAUAGCCCCGUAUGCGAAA
Molecule: ribosomal RNA, 385 nt
Filed under: Weissella cibaria
Lineage: Bacteria; Bacillati; Bacillota; Bacilli; Lactobacillales; Lactobacillaceae
Description: bacterial LSU rRNA
Rfam family: Bacterial large subunit ribosomal RNA
Source: RNAcentral